RNAcentral lists this ribosomal RNA (493 nucleotides) under uncultured bacterium. Its description in RNAcentral is "partial 16S ribosomal RNA". It matches the Rfam family "Bacterial small subunit ribosomal RNA", at positions 29 to 523 of the family's 1533-position model. The record is from RNAcentral.
AUUGGACGCUGGCGGCAUGCUUUACACAUGCAAGUCGAACGGUAACAGGUUAAGCUGACGAGUGGCGAACGGGUGAGUAAUGCAUCGGAACGUGCCCGAUCGUGGGGGAUAACGCAGCGAAAGCUGCGCUAAUACCGCAUACGAUCUGAGGAUGAAAGCGGGGGACCGUAAGGCCUCGCGCGAUCGGAGCGGCCGAUGUCAGAUUAGGUAGUUGGUGGGGUAAAGGCCCACCAAGCCGACGAUCUGUAGCUGGUCUGAGAGGACGACCGGCCACACUGGGACUGAGACACGGCCCAGACUCCUACGGGAGGCAGCAGUGGGGAAUUUUGGACAAUGGGCGAAAGCCUGAUCCAGCAAUGCCGCGUGCAGGAAGAAGGCCUUCGGGUUGUAAACUGCUUUUGUACGGAGCGAAAAGGUCCUUUCUAAUACAGGGGGCUCAUGACGGUACCGUAAGAAUAAGCACCGGCUAACUACGUGCCAGCAGCCGCGGUAA